RNAcentral lists this ribosomal RNA (639 nucleotides) under uncultured archaeon. RNAcentral describes it as "bacterial SSU rRNA". It matches the Rfam family "Archaeal small subunit ribosomal RNA", at positions 648 to 1311 of the family's 1478-position model. The record is from RNAcentral.
GCGUGUCCUGGGGCACUUGCGAAGCGCCGGCUGACGGUCCGACGUAGGACGAGGCCGGGAGCAACCGGAUAGUACCCGGGUAGUCCCGCUGUAACUUGCGGAUAGGUGUCGCGUCGGCUUCGGGCCGGCGCGGUCCGAAGGGAAGCGUUAAGUCCGCCGCCUGGGAGUACGGUCGCAAGACUGAAAUUAAAGGAAUUGGCGGGGGAGCACUACACGGGUGGAGCCUGCGGUUUAAUUGGAUUAAACGCCGGGCAUCUUACCAGGGGCGACGGCAGGAUGAAGGCCAGGUUGACGACCUUGCCAGACGCGCCGAGAGGUGGUGCAUGGCCGUCGUCAGCUCGUACCGUGAGGCGUCCUGUUAAGUCAGGUAACGAGCGAGACCCGUGCCCCAUGUUGCCAUCCCCUCCUCCGGGAGGGGGGCACUCAUGGGGGACCGCCGGCGAAAAGCCGGAGGAAGGUGCGGGCAACGACAGGUCCGCAUGCCCCGAAUCCCCUGGGCUACACGCGGGCUACAAUGGCCGGGACAAUGGGAUGCGACCCCGAAAGGGGGAGCAAAUCCCCUAAACCCGGUCGUAGUCCGGAUCGAGGGCUUAACUCGCCCUCGUGAAGCCGGAAUCCGUAGUAAUCGCGCCUCACCAU